RNAcentral lists this long non-coding RNA (359 nucleotides) under Volvox carteri. RNAcentral describes it as "long non-coding RNA (VCAR_LNC003889)". The record is from RNAcentral. Lineage: Eukaryota; Viridiplantae; Chlorophyta; Chlorophyceae; Chlamydomonadales; Volvocaceae.
AUGUCCGCUCUUCGAGUGCUCGGAGGCAAGUUGGCAGCGUGCAAAGCACCCAUCCUUUCCACUGUUCUGGCAUGGCCUUCCACGCGCAAGAAGAUCUUUUUACUCUAGGACUUCUCCCUUGUUCCUCCUUCUCGGCACAGACACGACGGAAGUGUCCUGUGCGCGCGCUGUUCCUGUGCUGCUGUUCUUGUUCUUCGGGUUGUACUUCCUGCGCUUCUAGCAAUCUCGCGCCCGCAACGAAUGACGGCAAGUACAUUGCGCCGUGCGCCAAACGCCAUGUAAGACUCGUAUGCAACCAUCACGUUCCCUUCUGCUGCUGCGCCUGCCUCUCCAGCCUGGCCCAAAUCCGUUCCUGGCAC